This is a small nuclear RNA of Danio rerio (zebrafish), 166 nucleotides long. Its record names the gene U1. It matches the Rfam family "U1 spliceosomal RNA". Rfam says of the family: U1 is a small nuclear RNA (snRNA) component of the spliceosome (involved in pre-mRNA splicing). The record is from Ensembl. NCBI's taxonomy places the organism in Eukaryota, Metazoa, Chordata, Actinopteri, Cypriniformes, Danionidae.
AUACUUACCUGGCAGGGGCGAUACCAUGAUCAGAAAGGUGGUUCACCCAGGGCGAGGAUUAGCCAUUGCACAAAUCGGCUAGUUUGACCUCUGACAAUUUCUCAAAUGCAGGAAUCUGUACUGCGUAAUUUCUGGUAGUGGGGGACUGCGUUCGCGCUCUCCCCUC